AAGACUAUACUUUCAGGGAUCAUUUCUCUAGUUCUUUACAAAUAACUAGCACAAGACUAUUUCUGAAGAGCCUGGCACAAUGGGCUUC
RNAcentral lists this small nucleolar RNA (88 nucleotides) under Erinaceus europaeus (western European hedgehog). RNAcentral describes it as "Small nucleolar RNA U3 (ENSEEUG00000023437.1)". Lineage: Eukaryota; Metazoa; Chordata; Mammalia; Eulipotyphla; Erinaceidae. The record is from RNAcentral.